AGAAACUUAGGUUAAACCCAACAAACCAGGAGCCUUCAAAGCCCCAAAUAAGGAAAACCACCCCUUAGUUUCUG
Molecule: transfer RNA, 74 nt
Filed under: Ptyodactylus guttatus (Sinai fan-fingered gecko)
Lineage: Eukaryota; Metazoa; Chordata; Lepidosauria; Squamata; Phyllodactylidae
Also listed under: 1 other name
Description: tRNA-Trp
Source: RNAcentral